This is a long non-coding RNA of Saccostrea cuccullata (small rock oyster), 764 nucleotides long. RefSeq lists it as uncharacterized. The transcript has 2 exons. NCBI's taxonomy places the organism in Eukaryota, Metazoa, Mollusca, Bivalvia, Ostreida, Ostreidae. The record is from RefSeq and is a predicted model, not a curated record.
AAAUCUCCAGCUUUGAGACCCAAACUCCGGCUGAAAAAUUUCAAAUCUCUAGUUGUGAUUUUUCAGUUCUGUCACAUGUAUGCAAUAUUUAAACAAACACAGCUUUUAACAUUGCAUUUAUUGAUUUCAGGGAUUCACAGAAGCUAGAAAAGAACAACUGGAUGUGUUGAAAGAAACAUUGACCAAGAACUUAGCCAAAGCCAUACUUCAGGAAGGGACAGUAAAAAUAUUUUGAGAACUCCUCUGAUUAUGAUCUCCAGGCAGCAGUAAAAUUACAGACUCCUAAUUCAGGGAACGUAAUGUGCACAUAAAGAUUCCUAAAAUUCAUUUGCUGAAUAUAAAUGCAUGUGUUACAUGUUGCAUAAAAUGUGUUCAGCUUAUCUUUAUUUAUUGAGAUUGUGACAAAAGUCUAAUUGCUUUGAUUGAAUCAGAUGAUUCAGAUGAUAAUUAAAAACUGAAAUAAAACUCUCUGUGUGAUUUUUAAUAUUUUGAAAUUUCUGCUCCUAUGGAUCGUUGGAAGAAAGAAAAGUAAAUCACUAAUGUUAAUCUGUCAAGAAGAAUUUAUAUUUGUACAUCAAGUGGACAAAUAAAGACUGAAAAUGCACACAUUGUUUCAACACAUAUAAACAUAUCUAUAAAUUUCAUGUCAAUGGAAUAUAUCAGAUGUACAUGUCAAUGGCAUAUAAUGUCGGAACGUAUGUAUUGCUACUUCCUACAUGUAUAAUGUAUGCAACAUUUUAGGUGCAUUAAAUCAAGUGAAAGAA